Molecule: ribosomal RNA, 434 nt
Filed under: uncultured Lachnospiraceae bacterium
Lineage: Bacteria; Bacillati; Bacillota; Clostridia; Lachnospirales; Lachnospiraceae
Description: bacterial SSU rRNA
Rfam family: Bacterial small subunit ribosomal RNA
Source: RNAcentral
ACGGAAGGCAGCAGUGGGGAAUAUUGCACAAUGGGGGAAACCCUGAUGCAGCGACGCCGCGUGAGCGAAGAAGUAUUUCGGUAUGUAAAGCUCUAUCAGCAGGGAAGAAAAUGACGGUACCUGACUAAGAAGCCCCGGCUAACUACGUGCCAGCAGCCGCGGUAAUACGUAGGGGGCAAGCGUUAUCCGGAUUUACUGGGUGUAAAGGGAGCGUAGACGGCAAGGUAAGUCUGAAGUGAAAUGCCGGGGCUCAACCCCGGAACUGCUUUGGAAACUAUCUCGCUCGAGUGCCGGAGGGGUAAGCGGAAUUCCUAGUGUAGCGGUGAAAUGCGUAGAUAUUAGGAGGAACACCAGUGGCGAAGGCGGCUUACUGGACGGUAACUGACGUUGAGGCUCGAAAGCGUGGGGAGCAAACAGGAUUAGAUACCCUGGUA